CUCAAAGAGUUAAGUAUGAUCCCCUAGCAGUAUGACUUGAGUGUGAUCAAACAGAUGGUUUGUCACCAAUAAAGGUGGAGGAAAACAAAAGUUAAGAAAGUGUUGGAAGUUCCAGAGAUGCAAGGAGAAAUGUCUCUAUGCAGCAUCCUAAUGGAAAUACUCUGAAGCUGCUGCUUCUGGAAAUGGUACAAUCGAGCCAGCUAUGUCCACCAAAGGAUAUAAAGUGUGGGUUCAGAAACAAUUCUUGCAUGAAAGCAGAAAAGCUGGGAUUUCACUUCUGCUUCCAGAAGUAUCUUCCUAAUUAAGUAAAUCUGGACUGAUGUGGAAACAUGUUCAAUAAGUGGAGGAGAUAAACGCUGUGGAGUUAUUUGGGUAACUAAAACUAGAAUUUGCUGGAUCAAAGUAAUAUAACUGUGCUGGCAAUUUUUUUCUGUGAGCUAAAACAUAAUACAAAAAUGUAAGUCAGAGAAAACCACUCCUUUCAUUAAUUGAUUUCUUUUAUUCUUCA
RNAcentral lists this long non-coding RNA (508 nucleotides) under Felis catus (domestic cat). Its description in RNAcentral is "lncRNA (ENSFCAG00000049290.1)". The record is from RNAcentral. Lineage: Eukaryota; Metazoa; Chordata; Mammalia; Carnivora; Felidae.